UACGUAGGGUCCGAGCGUUGUCCGGAAUUAUUGGGCGUAAAGGGCUCGUAGGCGGUUUGUCGCGUCGGGAGUGAAAACACGGGGCUUAACCCCGUGCCUGCUUCCGAUACGGGCAGACUAGAGGUAUGCAGGGGAGAACGGAAUUCCUGGUGUAGCGGUGAAAUGCGCAGAUAUCAGGAGGAACACCGGUGGCGAAGGCGGGUCUCUGGGCCGAUACUGACGCCGAGGAGCGAAAGCGUGGGGAGCGAACAGG
Molecule: ribosomal RNA, 253 nt
Filed under: uncultured bacterium
Lineage: Bacteria
Description: partial 16S ribosomal RNA
Rfam family: Bacterial small subunit ribosomal RNA
Source: RNAcentral